RNAcentral lists this non-coding RNA (30 nucleotides) under Cricetulus griseus (Chinese hamster). Lineage: Eukaryota; Metazoa; Chordata; Mammalia; Rodentia; Cricetidae. The record is from RNAcentral.
AAAGUGUAAACUAAUGGAACCUAGAAGAAC